UCACCCUAGGAGAGGAAAUGUAGUUGUCGAUGCCCUAAGCUGAAAGGAGCUUGUAGUGCUAGCUCAAACCAUGACCUCAAGUUGGAAAAUGAUAGACAUUAUACAAUCGCUUUGCCUUAACUACUACGGCAAGAGCACCUAUCUUGCUCAGAUCUAAGCCAUAUCGGAUCUCUUUAUGAAGAUCUGGGAAGCACAGGCCACGGACCCAGAACUCACCAAGAAUCUAAGUAAGUUCACUUCUGACGAAGCACCUAAGUUCAGGAUCUCUGAUGAUGGAUUGUUU
Molecule: long non-coding RNA, 283 nt
Filed under: Carica papaya (papaya)
Lineage: Eukaryota; Viridiplantae; Streptophyta; Magnoliopsida; Brassicales; Caricaceae
Description: long non-coding RNA (CPAP_LNC004339)
Source: RNAcentral